RNAcentral lists this ribosomal RNA (253 nucleotides) under uncultured bacterium. RNAcentral's name for it is "partial 16S ribosomal RNA". It matches the Rfam family "Bacterial small subunit ribosomal RNA", at positions 524 to 776 of the family's 1533-position model. The record is from RNAcentral.
UACAUGGGGUGCAAACGUUGCUCGGAAUUAUUGGGCGUAAAGCGCACGUAGGCGGUUUGUUAAGUCGGAUGUGAAAUCCCUCGGCUCAACUGAGGAAGUGCAUCCGAAACUGGCAGGCUUGAGUACUAAAGAGGGUCGCGGAAUUCCCGGUGUAGAGGUGAAAUUCGUAGAUAUUGGGAAGAACACCGGUGGCGAAGGCGGCUCACUGGCUCAUUACUGACGCUCAGGCGCGAUAGCGUGGGGAUCAAACAGG